RNAcentral lists this non-coding RNA (107 nucleotides) under Pararhodospirillum photometricum. RNAcentral's name for it is "Rhodospirillum photometricum SAM-I-IV sequence". It matches the Rfam family "SAM-I/IV (S-adenosyl methionine) riboswitch aptamer". Rfam says of the family: It is found upstream of a number of genes which code for proteins involved in methionine or cysteine biosynthesis. It has been found mostly in the order Actinomycetales. Lineage: Bacteria; Pseudomonadati; Pseudomonadota; Alphaproteobacteria; Rhodospirillales; Rhodospirillaceae. The record is from RNAcentral. RNAcentral also lists the same sequence under 1 other name.
GCCGUGCAUCAAGAGUUGGGGCGACGCCCAACGCCAACCUGCCUUCCGGGCAAGGUGGAGCUUCCGUAAGGAAGGAUGUGGCCGCUCCGGCAAGUAUACGGAAUUAA